GGAAGAUUUAGAAUACACUAUGUUUGAUAUGAGAGUGUGGAGUGAAAUAUACAUUUAUCUUAACACAUACUAAGUACUUGAUUUUCACACAUAUAUAUACAUAUACAUAAUGUUCAAGCUGAUAGUUGUAAGUUGUGAUUCUACUGAACCACUCUAGAUUUACUGUAAACCUUUCACAAGAGGCACUUUUUCCUGGUUUAUAUCCACAUGCCUAGCCAAAGUAGAGGCUCCUCCAGCCUUUACUAACAACUCACUGAAUCCAAUCUGAGAUUUUAAGAAGAAUAGAUAGUACCUGUAUAUUUACAUGUAUUCAGCUCCAAUGUUCAUUCUCAUGAAGCGCUAAACUUUUU
RNAcentral lists this unclassified non-coding RNA (350 nucleotides) under Hevea brasiliensis (rubber tree). The record is from RNAcentral. Lineage: Eukaryota; Viridiplantae; Streptophyta; Magnoliopsida; Malpighiales; Euphorbiaceae.